GACGAACGCUGGCGGCGUGCUUAACACAUGCAAGUCGAGCGGUAAGGCCCUUUUGGGGGUACACGAGCGGCGAACGGGUGAGUAACACGUGGGUGACCUGCCCUCAGCUCUGGGAUAAGCCUGGGAAACUGGGUCUAAUACUGGAUAUGACCUUUUCCUCGCAUGGGGUUGGGUGGAAAGUUUUUUCGGCUGGGGAUGGGGCCCGCGGCCUAUCAGCUUGUUGGUGGGGUGAUGGCCUACCAAGGCGACGACGGUAGCCGGCCUGAGAGGGCGACCGGCCACACUGGGACUGAG
Molecule: ribosomal RNA, 294 nt
Filed under: uncultured bacterium
Lineage: Bacteria
Description: partial 16S ribosomal RNA
Rfam family: Bacterial small subunit ribosomal RNA
Source: RNAcentral